AGUUUGAUCCUGGCUCAGAUUGAACGCUGGCGGCAUGCCUUACACAUGCAAGUCGAACGGCAGCGGGCCUUCGGGUGCCGGCGAGUGGCGAACGGGUGAGUAAUGCAUCGGAACGUGCCAUUGAGUGGGGAUAACGUAGCGAAAGUUGCGCUAAUACCGCAUAUUCUGUGAGCAGGAAAGCAGGGGACCGCAAGGCCUUGCGCUCUUUGAGCGGCCGAUGUCAGAUUAGCUAGUUGGUGAGGUAAAGGCUUACCAAGGCGACGAUCUGUAGCGGGUCUGAGAGGAUGAUCCGCCACACUGGAACUGAGACACGGUCCAGACUCCUACGGGAGGCAGCAGUGGGGAAUUUUGGACAAUGGGGGCAACCCUGAUCCAGCCAUGCCGCGUGAGUGAAGAAGGCCUUCGGGUUGUAAAGCUCUUUCGGCCGGGAAGAAAUCGCAUGGGUGAAUACCCUGUGUGGAUGACGGUACCGGAACAAGAAGCACCGGCUAACUACGUG
This 499-nucleotide ribosomal RNA is filed under the name uncultured bacterium. RNAcentral's name for it is "bacterial SSU rRNA". It matches the Rfam family "Bacterial small subunit ribosomal RNA", at positions 10 to 507 of the family's 1533-position model. The record is from RNAcentral.